UAUGUGCGGGUUCCUGGACUCAGUGG
RNAcentral lists this non-coding RNA (26 nucleotides) under Mus musculus (house mouse). The record is from RNAcentral. Lineage: Eukaryota; Metazoa; Chordata; Mammalia; Rodentia; Muridae.